Molecule: ribosomal RNA, 357 nt
Filed under: uncultured eukaryote
Lineage: Eukaryota
Description: SSU rRNA
Rfam family: Eukaryotic small subunit ribosomal RNA
Source: RNAcentral
AGCUCCAAUAGCGUAUAUUAAAGUUGUUGCAGUUAAAAAGCUCGUAGUUGAAUUUCUGUUUGAUACGUCAAGGGCGACAUAGUCAACCUUGAAGUACAAGCAUUUUUCUACACCUGGUGGUAACAUCAGAGGGUAGAGCCUUUACUUUGAGAAAAUUAGAGUGUUUCAAGCAAGCUUCGCUUUGAAUACUACAGCAUGGAAUAAUACAAUAGGACUUUAGGCCUAUUUGUUGGUUUCAGGCCUGAAGUAAUGAUUAAUAGGGACAGUUGGGGGCAUUCGUAUUGGAUAGUCAGCGGUGAAAUGCGUAGAUUUAUUCAAGACGAACUACUGCGAAAGCAUUUGCCAAAGAUGUUUUCA